Molecule: ribosomal RNA, 448 nt
Filed under: uncultured prokaryote
Description: bacterial SSU rRNA
Rfam family: Bacterial small subunit ribosomal RNA
Source: RNAcentral
UGGGGAAUCUUGCGCAAUGGGCGAAAGCCUGACGCAGCGACGCCGCGUGAGUGAUGAAGGCCUUAGGGUUGUAAAGCUCUGUGGAGUGGGACGAAUAAGCUACGGUUAAUACCCGUAGUGAUGACGGUACCUCUUUAGCAAGCACCGGCUAACUCUGUGCCAGCAGCCGCGGUAAGACAGAGGGUGCAAACGUUGUUCGGAAUUACUGGGCGUAAAGCGCGUGUAGGCUGUCAUGCAAGUCGGGUGUGAAAGCCCAGGGCUCAACCUUGGAAGUGCACUCGAAACUGCAAGACUUGAAUCUCGGAGAGGGUAGCGGAAUUCUGGGUGUAGAGGUGAAAUUCGUAGAUAUCCAGAGGAACACCGGUGGCGAAGGCGGCUACCUGGACGAGUAUUGACGCUGAGACGCGAAAGUGUGGGGAGCAAACAGGAUUAGAUACCCCCGUAGUCC